Molecule: ribosomal RNA, 457 nt
Filed under: uncultured bacterium
Lineage: Bacteria
Description: bacterial SSU rRNA
Rfam family: Bacterial small subunit ribosomal RNA
Source: RNAcentral
ACGAACGCUGGCGGCGUGGAUAAGGCAUGCAAGUCGAACGCCCAGCUCAAGUUUAGCAAUAAACUGGAGCUGGGAGUGGCAAACGAGGUAGUAAUACAUAGGUAACUUACCCCGAAGUCGGGCAUAAUCCCGCGAAAGCGGGACUAAUUCCCGAUAUCGUGGCAACACAAAAGGCGCAAGCCGCUUUGGGAGAGGCCUAUGGGCUAUCAGCUAGUUGGUAGGGUAAUGGCCUACCAAGGCUAUGACGGCUAGGGGAGGUGAGAGCCUGACCCCCACCGAUGGAACUGAGACACGGUCCAUACACCUACGGGUGGCAGCAGUCGAGAAUAUUCGACAAUGGGCGAAAGCCUGAUCGAGCGACGCCGCGUGAAGGAUGAAAUUCUUCGGGAUGUAAACUUCUUUUGGCAGGGAAAAACUCAAUGAUGGUACCUGCCGAAUAAGGGCCUGCAAAUCUCGU